RNAcentral lists this ribosomal RNA (840 nucleotides) under uncultured marine bacterium. RNAcentral describes it as "bacterial SSU rRNA". It matches the Rfam family "Bacterial small subunit ribosomal RNA", at positions 61 to 949 of the family's 1533-position model. The record is from RNAcentral.
GUCGAACGCAGUAGCAAUACUGAGUGGCAAACGGGUGAGUAUAAUGUGGGAAUCUGCCUUUUGGUUUGGAAUAACACGGGGAAACUUGUGCUAAUACCGGAUAAGCCCUUACGGGGAAAGUUUUAACGCCGAAAGAUGAGCCUGCACUUGAUUAGCUAGUUGGUAAGGUAAAAGCUUACCAAGCCAACGAUCAAUAGCUGUUCUUAGAGGAAGACCAGCCACAUUGGGACUGAGACACGGCCCAGACUCCUACGGGAGGCAGCAGUGGGGAAUCUUGCACAAUGGGGGAAACCCUGAUGCAGCGAUGCCGCGUGAGUGAAGAAGGCCUUUGGGUUGUAAAACUCUUUCGUCGGGGAAGAAAAUGACUGUACCCGAAUAAGAAGGUCCGGCUAACUUCGUGCCAGCAGCCGCGGUAAUACGAAGGGACCUAGCGUAGUUCGGAAUUACUGGGCUUAAAGAGCUCGUAGGUGGUUAAAAAAGUUGAUGGUGAAAUCCCAAGGCUCAACCUUGGAACUGCCAUCAAAACUUUUUAGCUAGAGUGUGAUAGAGGUAAGUGGAAUUUCUAGUGUAGAGGUGAAAUUCGUAGAUAUUAGAAAGAACACCAAAUGCGAAGGCAACUUACUGGGUCACUACUGACACUGAGGAGCGAAAGCAUGGGUAGCGAAGAGGAUUAGAUACCCUCGUAGUCCAUGCCGUAAACGAUGUGUGCUAGACGUUGGAAAUAUAUUUUUCAGUGUCGCAGCGAAAGCAUUAAGCACACCGCCUGGGGAGUACGACCGCAAGGUUAAAACUCAAAUGAAUUGACGGGGACCCGCACAAGCAGUGGAGCAUGUGGUUUAA